Molecule: non-coding RNA, 93 nt
Organism: Paramarasmius palmivorus
Lineage: Eukaryota; Fungi; Basidiomycota; Agaricomycetes; Agaricales; Marasmiaceae
Source: the annotation of a GenBank genome assembly
GCAUUAAUGGGGUAGUGGUAACCUGGGUCGUUGCCAUUGAAGUGCACGGUUGUCAGCUUCGACCCGCCGGGGGUUCGAUUCCCUCUUAAUGCA